AUAUAUAUACAUACAUCUACACACACACACACUGUCCAAUCUCACCCACACUAAUUAAUCCCCUGAUCCCCACCCCGCAAAAAAAAAACUUGUGUGAUGUCAUUAACAGAAAUCAUUAAAAUGCUAUGAAGUUGGCCUCUCUACAGUUAUACAACCAAGUGAUAAUAGCAGCCAAAUAUCCCUCAGAAUACACACUACUACCUUUAAGAAAAAAAGGGGGAAAGGCUGUUGCAUAAUAAUGUUGGAUGUAUAAAACGACAGUUUAGUCACAGCUGGAAGAUCUGAUCAUAGCCUGACUGACCGAGGGUUAAACAAUGACAACCGUUAAAAGAUGUCAGGAAAUGUCUAAGGUACUCUUGCUAAAGCAUCUUAUUUCUUCUAUGUUAUUGGAACCUGGAGCAGCCAUAGGCACUGAAUCAGUCAAUGGCUCAGACACUAAUUGUACUUUCAACAGUUUAUGAACAGACUGCUCUCGAAGGAUACAGAAUUUUCUCUGACAACCACUUUGGAACUCACACAAAAGCAGCAACAACAUAUUAUAAACUGACGACAAAUACAUUUUACUUGCUAGACAUAGCAGCCAAAUCACUCUCAAAGUAUUUUCUGUCUUACAAAAAAUGGGUCACAUUAGAUUAUAGGAUUGUCAAUACAUUUUAUCAAAACAGAAACUGGAAUGGUUACUGAUCAUAUCUCUGUUGGAUGAAGGCUUAUCUGGGAUUAUCCCUAUUGUUUACCACAUUUCUGCUGAAAUACCCUUCCUUUGUUUCAAUUAAUCUUGGAAAUAAUGAAGAAUUUGGUGAAAAUAACUGUCUUUACAAAGCUGGUGUUUGGAACAAGAAUUAAUGAAAAAUUUUGAUGGAAAAUUUUAAUUCAGAUUACUUUAAAAGACAAAAUUUGUAUCACAGAACUAAGUAGUCUUGUUUGAGUUUGUAUCAAAAGGGUUUAACAAGAAAGGAGACGUUGAAGAUAAGCAGCUUAACCCUUAAACUGGCCAUAUCCAACCCAAACAUUCUACCCGUUUUAUGUUCAAAGUGGUCAGAUCUGGCCUCGCAGACCUUCUUUAAAAUUUAAUCCUAGAAAUAUUCAAUCCAUCUCACUGAAAUCUCAAAGCUACAAGAUACAAUUCAAGACAAUGUGAAUAAAUAAACAUUUGACAGAGAAAUCUGAAUGGUAAAGGGUUGACGGAGGACAGAAUGGUUGCAGUAUUUUAGAUCAUGGGUCUGUUGAAUCAAAGAUGGCUUAGAACUAAACAACAACAACAACAAUUAUUACAAACUGAAAUGUAAAUUGUCCUUCCUGCCUAACCUGAAGCAUAGCAAUAUUAUGUUAGCUUGAUCCUAAAAAAGUUGAAUUAACCAAAAAUAUUCCUUGUAUUGAGACAAAUUACAUUUCUAAUAUAAUUCUUAAACAAAUCUAAAAGACACUGUGUGUAUGAAUAAAAACAUACUCACACACAUGUAUGUAUAAUCCAGCACGUGCUCCAGAAAACUUGACACUUUACCAAAAAGUUUCCACGCAACCUCUAUGACUCCAGAUCAGCUUCUGUGCAGAGUGUGCAUUCCAUAUAGAAAAUGGAAUGCAGAAAACAUAACUAGUAUUUAUGCUUUGUAUAAUAUACACGUGUUUCAGAAAGCUGACUAUAAUUACAUAAGCCUAAAGUGUCAGUUACACAACACAUUGCAGUCAGCUCACUUCGUCAGUUAAUGUACCAUAUUACUUCCCUACCAAUUGAGCUGGCUAGAUGCUAUGUAUGAUAGCUUCACAUGUGAAAGUGAAAGUAGAAAACUGUCCUGCUCACCCAAAGACCCCACAUCAUUAAAGAAUUUAUAGUGUGGUCAUGGCUAAGCUAGAGUAUAGCAAUUUCAGGGUGUUUGGUCUGUGACAUUUCCUUACCAAGUCCUCACUAAAGACAAAUAAAUCCAUCUAAAGGGUUCAAACAAUAAACAAAAAAAGGAUUCUAUACUUCAAAAGUCAGUCAGUGAAAUAUUUAUAAAAGAAUUGUUUAAGUAAGUAAAAAGAAAAUGUUACUAUGGAAACAAUGAUGGUAGUAAUGGUAACAUUACCACUCUUUGACAAUGGUAAAAUGAUGGAUUAUUACUGUUCUGUUAAUGAUUGCUAAAACACUUUAAUUAAACCACUUUAAUUAACAAAAUAAUUAGUGGCAAAACAAAGGACUGUUACUGUAAUUUGCAUGUUAUUAGCAUUGUAAUAAGUAAGAUAAUAUACAAGUCAAAUUAAUUAUGAUAAUGUAUAUGUACAUUUUAAUAUCAUGGUAAUAUGUAAAUGAUAUGCAAAUGGAAAUAUGUUUAUGUGUAAAUGCUGGUACCAUGCUUAUAUGUAAAUGAUAUGCAAAUGGGAUUAUGUUAAUGUAUAUGUUAACAUCAAGGUAUCAUGAAAAUGAUAUAGAAAUGGAAUUAUGUUAAAGCCAUGUUAAUAUGUAAAUGGUACACAAGUGAAAUUAAUUAUGUUAAUUUAUGUGUAAAUAUUGUCUGGGCAAAUGGUAAAAAGGGGAAUUAAUUAUGUUUAUGUCUGUGUAAAUGAUAUACAAAGGGAGUUAUUAAUUAUGUUAAUAUAUAUGGUAACUGAUACCAAAGUGGAAAUGUAGAGCAAAUUAUUGCAAUGUAAACUUUUUAGAGCUGACCAUAGCAUGAGCUUCUCUCACAUUGCCUCCUCUUAACUGGUAGAGCUAGUCUUAUGUAACAAUUGUACAGGGUGGAGCUAGUUGUGUGCAAUAAGUGUUGAGUGUGGAUCCAGUUGCAUAUGAUAAAUGUAAUGUGCAGAUCCAAUUGCAUAUGGUUAUUCCUCCAUCACACACUCUAUACUCCGACAUGCCACAGUUGAUCGUUAUUAGAUGGUAUACUCACACUUCACCUAUGUAGGUCGGGUCUCUGCCUGAAGGGAAGGACCGUAUCUCAAAGGCCUUUACAAUGUCUCUGAAAUUGGUAGGCUGGAGGGAAGAGAAUAUCCUCGAAUCAGACCACCUGGUUUGCAUGUUUGCAUCAGAAUGGAGUCUAUGAAAGGCUGAAUGGCCAGGCAGUGAUGUUCAACAGGGCAUGAAGAUAGUGGCUCAUGUAGGAAAUGUUACUUGUGAUAGAAUGAUGUCCUAUCCAGGUGAAUUUCUCGCUUCAUCCCAUGAAACAGGAGCUAAACUUCAGAUUGGUAGUGGAUUACUUGUGAUAGAGUGGUGUCUUAUCCAGGUGCAUUUCUCCCCCACUUCACCCUAUAAAAAACUAGAGCCAAAGAUCAAAUCCCAGAAGCUUCCUGGAGGCUCAGGAAGUGUUUCAUUAUAACUUGGAGACAUUAAUUAUAGCCUCUCCACCUCUUCAUUUCUGAAACUGCUGAUCAAAGACACCAGUCCUGGUUGGUGUGGCCACCUC
This is a long non-coding RNA of Octopus sinensis (East Asian common octopus), 3377 nucleotides long. RefSeq lists it as uncharacterized. The transcript is spliced from 2 exons. The record is from RefSeq and is a predicted model, not a curated record. NCBI's taxonomy places the organism in Eukaryota, Metazoa, Mollusca, Cephalopoda, Octopoda, Octopodidae.